UUAGGUGCCUAUAUCGGCGGUGUCCACCUCUUCCCAUUCCGAACAGAGAAGUUAAGCCCGCCAGAGCCGAUGGUACUGCAGUAACAUGUGGGAGAGUAGGUCGGCGCCAAAU
RNAcentral lists this ribosomal RNA (112 nucleotides) under Pedobacter insulae. The record is from RNAcentral. Lineage: Bacteria; Pseudomonadati; Bacteroidota; Sphingobacteriia; Sphingobacteriales; Sphingobacteriaceae. RNAcentral also lists the same sequence under 2 other names.